AUUGAACGCUGGCGGCAUGCCUUACACAUGCAAGUCGAACGGCAGCACGGGUGCUUGCACCUGGUGGCGAGUGGCGAACGGGUGAGUAAUAUAUCGGAACGUGCCCUAGAGUGGGGGAUAACGUAGCGAAAGUUACGCUAAUACCGCAUACGAUCUACGGAUGAAAGUGGGGGAUCGCAAGACCUCAUGCUCCUGAAGCGGCCGAGAUCUGAUUAGCUAGUUGGUGGGGUAAAAGCCUACCAAGGCGACGAUCAGUAGCUGGUCUGAGAGGACGACCAGCCACACUGGGACUGAGACACGGCCCAGACUCCUACGGGAGGCAGCAGUGGGGAAUUUUGGACAAUGGGGGAAACCCUGAUCCAGCAAUGCCGCGUGUGUGAAGAAGGCCUUCGGGUUGUAAAGCACUUUUGUCAGGAACGAAACGGUGGGGGCUAAUACCUCCUGCUAAUGACGGUACCUGAAGAAUAAGCACCGGCUAACUACGUGCCAGCCGCCGCUGUAA
Molecule: ribosomal RNA, 502 nt
Filed under: uncultured bacterium
Lineage: Bacteria
Description: partial 16S ribosomal RNA
Rfam family: Bacterial small subunit ribosomal RNA
Source: RNAcentral